AAUAAAGUAAGCUAAAUAAAGCUAGUGGGUUCAUACCCCAAAAAUGAAUAAUUUUUCCUUUAUUG
This 65-nucleotide transfer RNA is filed under the name Amblyomma tholloni. RNAcentral's name for it is "tRNA-Met". The record is from RNAcentral. Lineage: Eukaryota; Metazoa; Arthropoda; Arachnida; Ixodida; Ixodidae.